AACGAACGCUGGCGGCAUGCCUAACACAUGCAAGUCGAACGAGACCUUCGGGUCUAUUGGCGCACGGGUGCGUAACGCGUGGGAACCUGCCCUUAGGUUCGGAAUAACUCCCCGAAGGGUGUGCUAAUACCGGAUAAUGUCUUCGGACCAAAGAGUUAUCGCCUUUGGAUGGGCCCGGGUUGGAUUAGGUAGUUGGUAGGGUAAAGGCCGACCAAGGGGAGGAUGCAUGGCUGGUCGGGUAGGAUGCUCUUCCACAAUGGGACUGCGACCCGGCCCAGACCCCUACGGGACGCAGCAGUAGGGAAUAUUGGACACUGGGCGCAAGUCUGAUCCAGCCAUGCCGCGUGAGAGAUGAAGGGCUUAGGGUUGUACAGCUCUUUUAGCCGGGAUGAUAAUGACAGUACCGGGAGAAUAAGCUCCGGCUAACUACGUG
Molecule: ribosomal RNA, 433 nt
Filed under: uncultured bacterium
Lineage: Bacteria
Description: partial 16S ribosomal RNA
Rfam family: Bacterial small subunit ribosomal RNA
Source: RNAcentral